RNAcentral lists this long non-coding RNA (1114 nucleotides) under Podarcis muralis (Common wall lizard). RNAcentral describes it as "lncRNA (ENSPMRG00000019791.1)". Lineage: Eukaryota; Metazoa; Chordata; Lepidosauria; Squamata; Lacertidae. The record is from RNAcentral.
AAUUAGUUGGUUCUGCCUAUCAUUGGCUCUGGUUCCACCUACUGCUGGCUUCUCAGCUGCUGCCCUACCAGUUCCAAUGGGCAUCAGGCACCAACGGCUCAGGAGGAAUGCCUGGGAUGCAGCCACUGCUGCCCCACCAGCGCCUGCUUCCAAAGACAGUCACCACACUCUGCCUAAUGACAAUACUGUUACAGGUUUGGGCAGUGCUUUUAUUCUAGAAAAAUAGGUUCCGGUACUCACCAUGAAGUUGUUACAGUAAGUGCCACACUUUUUAACAAGGGUACUGUGCCCCCUGGGGGAAAAAAGCACUGGGUUUGGGAGGGGUGAUCAGCCUGAAUGAUGUCCAUGGGUCUGUUCCAGACCUGUAAUCCUGUAUCAGUGAGGUUAGAAUAUAUCCGAGGAAACCUGUCAAACUGGUUCCUUUAUUAAGGUUUAGCUGCUCAGCUAAAUGCCCAUCAACAGAAGCUUAAAAAGCAAGCUCUGUUGUCAUAGAGACAAAUGACUGGUUCUUUCCCCACCUCACAUGGCUGGAUGCCAGGUCAUCCUAGAAAGGAUAAAAGUUGGCUAUCUUGGUGAAUUUGGGCUGAUACUGGAAGCUGGAGAUGCAAGAGACUUGUCUUGUUCUGUGCUGGACCCAAAGCUACAGCCCGGUGAUCUCUAUGAGAACCUAAUGGGGAGGCAAAGUCUAUGGAAGGUUAAUGCUGUGAGUUCCUCCACCUUAUUAUAUGGGUGGGUGGGUGUGGGUGUGGGUGUGCAAAUAUGUAGCCGGUUGAUUGUUGUGUGGCUCCUACAGGCCCCCCAGCAUUUCACAAACAAAACUAGGGGCAUGCUCACAAAACCCAAGUUAUCUUAUAAAAGAUGUAAGUCCUUCUCCUUCCUUGUCACCCCACAGAUGCUGCUAAAGUCUCCGCUGUGUCUUCUGUAUGCUGUUAUUGUUUUCAUCUGCAAUUGCCAGUCUUCCUCUGAUCUAAAAGCCAGGAGGGUGCUUGUUCUUUUGGAUAAUGUUGGUAAAAGUAAAGCUUUAGUCCAUGAUACUGCUGAGGCUCCAAUACUUUGGCCACCUCAUUUGAAGAGAAGACUCCCUGGAAAAGGCCCUGAUGUUGGGAAAGAUUGA